This 497-nucleotide ribosomal RNA is filed under the name uncultured bacterium. RNAcentral's name for it is "partial 16S ribosomal RNA". It matches the Rfam family "Bacterial small subunit ribosomal RNA", at positions 28 to 507 of the family's 1533-position model. The record is from RNAcentral.
GAUGAACGCUGGCGGCGUGCCUAAUACAUGCAAGUCGAGCGAACGGACGAGAAGCUUGCUUCUCUGAUGUUAGCGGCGGACGGGUGAGUAACACGUGGAUAACCUACCUAUAAGACUGGGAUAACUUCGGGAAACCGUAGCUAAUACCGGAUAAUAUUUUGAACCGCAUGGUUCAAAAGUGAAAGACGGUCUUGCUGUCACUUAUAGAUGGAUCUGCGCUGCAUUAGCUAGUUGGUAAGGUAACGGCUUACCAAGGCAACGAUGCAUAGCCGACCUGAGAGGGUGAUCGGCCACACUGGAACUGAGACACGGUCCAGACUCCUACGGGAGGCAGCAGUAAGGAAUCUUCCGCAAUGGGCGAAAGCCUGACGGAGCAACGCCGCGUGAGUGAUGAAGGUCUUCGGAUCGUAAAACUCUGUUAUUAGGGAAGAACAUAUGUGUAAGUAACUGUGCACAUCUUGACGGUACCUAAUCAGAAAGCCACGGCUAACUACGUG